AUGAGUAAGAGGGAUGCUUGCUAAAAUUGGAAUAAGGGAAGAUGGGCGUGUCCCCAGCACAAGGAUGACAUGUAAAUUCAUGAAGCAUUCCAUUUUUUU
This is a small nuclear RNA of Neogale vison (American mink), 99 nucleotides long. Lineage: Eukaryota; Metazoa; Chordata; Mammalia; Carnivora; Mustelidae. The record is from Ensembl.